This 407-nucleotide ribosomal RNA is filed under the name uncultured bacterium. Its description in RNAcentral is "bacterial SSU rRNA". It matches the Rfam family "Bacterial small subunit ribosomal RNA", at positions 32 to 421 of the family's 1533-position model. The record is from RNAcentral.
AAUCAACGCUGGCGGCGUGCCUCAGACAUGCAAGUCGAACGAGAAGGCCCCUUCGGGGGCCGGACAGUGGCGCACGGGUGAGUAACACGUGGGUAAUUUACCUUCGGGUGGGGAACAACAGCCGGAAACGGCUGCUAAUACCGCAUAAUGCAGCGGCACCUAAUGGUGACAGUUGUUAAAGCGGGGGAUCGUAAGACCUCGCGCCUGAAGAGAAGCCCGCGGCGGAUUAGGUAGUUGGUGAGGUAAUGGCUCACCAAGCCUGCGAUCUGUAGCCGGCCUGAGAGGGCGGUCGGCCACACUGACACUGAACAACGGGUCAGACUCCUACGGGAGGCAGCAGUCGGGAAUUUUGGGCAAUGGGCGCAAGCCUGACCCAGCAACGCCGCGUGAAGGAUGAAGUUUUUCGG